RNAcentral lists this transfer RNA (69 nucleotides) under Forsythia suspensa. RNAcentral describes it as "tRNA-Glu". Lineage: Eukaryota; Viridiplantae; Streptophyta; Magnoliopsida; Lamiales; Oleaceae. The record is from RNAcentral.
GUCACGAAGACGAACCGGGUCAACAAAGUUUCGAUCUGUAAAGCGCUGGUUCGAGCCCAGCUCGUGACA